AUCCUGGCUCAGAUUGAACGCUGGCGGCAUGCUUUACACAUGCAAGUCGAACGGCAGCACGGGGGCAACCCUGGUGGCGAGUGGCGAACGGGUGAGUAAUGUAUCGGAACAUGUCCGGAAGUGGGGGAUAACGUAGCGAAAGUUACGCUAAUACCGCAUAUGCCCUGAGGGGGAAAGGUGGGGAUCGCAAGACCUAUCGCUUUCGGAGUGGCCGAUAUCAGAUUAGCUAGUUGGUGAGGUAAAGGCUCACCAAGGCGACGAUCUGUAGCUGGUCUGAGAGGACGACCAGCCACACUGGGACUGAGACACGGCCCAGACUCCUACGGGAGGCAGCAGUGGGGAAUUUUGGACAAUGGGGGCAACCCUGAUCCAGCCAUGCCGCGUGGGUGAAGAAGGCCUUCGGGUUGUAAAGCUCUUUCGGACAGAAAGAAAUCGCACUUACUAAUACUGGGUGUGGAUGACGGUACUGUAAAAGAAGCACGGCUAACUACGU
RNAcentral lists this ribosomal RNA (493 nucleotides) under uncultured bacterium. RNAcentral describes it as "bacterial SSU rRNA". It matches the Rfam family "Bacterial small subunit ribosomal RNA", at positions 16 to 506 of the family's 1533-position model. The record is from RNAcentral.